GGACCAUCAUGUCGGUCGUGCCUCGGUACGUACUGGUAUUGUUGGUUUCUCCCUUCUGACGAACCAUGAUGUCAUUUAUUUGGUGUUGUGGGAAAUCAGGACUUUUACCUUGAAAAAAUUAGAGUGUUUAAAGCAAGCUUACGCUUGAAUACAUUAGCAUGGAAUAAUGAAAUAGGACAUCAGAUUCUAUUUUGUUGGUUUCUAGGAUCGAUGUA
Molecule: ribosomal RNA, 215 nt
Filed under: Campeiostachys nutans
Lineage: Eukaryota; Viridiplantae; Streptophyta; Magnoliopsida; Poales; Poaceae
Description: Elymus nutans partial small subunit ribosomal RNA
Rfam family: Eukaryotic small subunit ribosomal RNA (bases 46-215)
Source: RNAcentral